This is a long non-coding RNA of Oncorhynchus tshawytscha (Chinook salmon), 745 nucleotides long. The record is from Ensembl. Lineage: Eukaryota; Metazoa; Chordata; Actinopteri; Salmoniformes; Salmonidae.
UCUUAGGAUAGGCGAGUAUAAAAUUUAAAAAACAAGGCACCCAUGCUCUCUGACUUUCCAUAAUGGGAAGAACACUGUGAAGACGUUGAUCAAAGAUAUGCAGCUUUAUUAAAUAAAUGGCAACUGGAUUUUAUUUCAGGUAAAGCUAAUUCAUUUAAAUAGUUUUAUAAAAUAUUGCUAACUGCUAUAAUAGUGAUUCAAUUUGUCUUAAAUUCUAAUGCAGGGCAGUGAUUGGUUACCAAUUGAUUCAUUCUCACCCCUCUUGAGUUUCCUUCUGUCAGUGUGACAGGAGAAGUUGGAGGCUCUGAGCUCAACAUGGCCAGGCAGAGGGAGGAUACUGAACAUGUAGCCACGUUGACCCAUACUGCUUAGUGAUGGGAUGAACACCAUCCGCAUCUAGAGGAGGAAAAGGAUUCAAUGCCUUCGAAUCGAGGUUCAAUAUCAGAACAUGCCAAGAGCGCAGACACCACAAGACAUCUAUCCCGACAUUCAACCUGAACAGUUCCAGAAAGAUGAAUUAAAGGAGGACGAGGUGUUCACCUUUAACUUCAACUUGUUCAUGACUGGUCCUGGUCAGUUCCUGGAUGGGAGACCAGAUGCUGCUGGAAGGGGUGUUGGAGGGCCAGUAGGAGGCACUCUUUCCUCUGGUCUAAAAAAAUAUCCCAAUGCCCCAGGGCAGUGAUUGGGGACACUGCCCUGUGUCGGGUGCCGUCUUUCGGAUGGGACGUUAAACGGGUGUCCUGAC